Molecule: long non-coding RNA, 442 nt
Organism: Nycticebus coucang (slow loris)
Lineage: Eukaryota; Metazoa; Chordata; Mammalia; Primates; Lorisidae
Exons: 3
Source: RefSeq, a predicted model, not a curated record
CCAGGUUGGCCGUCUCCCGGCGGCCGCGCUCCCCGUGGAACACGUAGUCCACGAACUCCAGCUGCACCCGCGGUGCGGAGGGGUGGCCACGGCGCCGGGGCGUGGAUGGGAAGGUGGCAGUGCAAGGCCAGGAGGAGGAGAGGAAGUCUCACUAUGUUGCCAGGCUAGAGUGCAGUGGCUAGUCACAGGUGUGAUUAUAACGCACCACAGCCUUGAACUCCUGGGUUCAAGUGAUGCUCCUGCCUCAGCCUCCCCAGGUGGGUGGGACUACAGGACUACUGGCUGCAGAUGCAUUUUUAACAAGCUCUCAGGCCAUUCAGCCCAAUUCUUCCUGACCCUCACCUCCAGAGGAGGCCACAGCUACCAGGAUGAGGGAUUCCUCACGCCCUGCAGGCUCCUCUGAAUACUGCAGUUUCUCCGUCACAGAGCCCAAAAUGUCCUG